AUGAGGAGCCUGCUGGGGGAGGAGCGCAGCUUCAUCAUCGAGAGCGACGACGACGACGAGGAGGAUCCCGCCCACAGGGGCGACGGCGUUGGCCAUGGGGAUGAUGGGUCGUCGUCGGACUCGUCGUCGUGCGCCACCCCGCGCGGCGGCGGCGGCGGCGGCGGGGACAGCCAGCCCAACUCCUACACCAACCAAUGGCCGCAGAGCUACAGGCAAUCGAUCGACAUUCUGAGCAACGUGCAGUCGCCGAGCCUGGGGUUCCUGGGGACCCCGACGCUGAGCCGGCUGUCCAACUCCUUCCUCAACAGCUCCUUCCUCAACAACUCGUUCCGAGGCAAAACCCCCGAGAUCGUCUCCAACCUCGUCAAGCCGCUCAUACGCCCCACGACAAGCGACGAGCAACAGCAACAGCAACAGCAGCAUGAGGAUAUCCGGAAGAGCUCGCAGUACCUCCUGCCGUCGAGGAAGCCGUCGCUGCAGCAGAUCCCCGAGGAUCAGAAGCCGCUGGUGGUUGGUCAUGAGGUUUCUCCCUACCAGCAGUGCUCUUACACCCAGGGAGCUAUGAACGGAAUAAAUGUUCUGUGUGGUGUCGGAAUCCUGUCGACGCCUUAUGCCAUCAAGCAAGGGGGGUGGCUGGGACUCGUGAUACUAGUUGUAUUUGCUCUGCUCGCAUGGUACACCGGUGUGCUGCUGCGCCGUUGCCUAGACAGCAAGGAGGGCCUUCAGACGUACCCGGAUAUCGGCCAUGCUGCCUUUGGAACCACGGGUCGCAUAGCCAUCUCGAUAAUUCUGUAUGUGGAACUGUAUGCCUGCUGCAUCGAGUAUUUGAUACUGGAAAGCGACAAUUUAUCCAAGUUGUUUCCCAAUGUACACCUGAGCAUUGGGGGCUUGACGAUAAACUCGCAUGUGUUCUUCGCAAUCUUGACGACGCUUGUUGUCAUGCCGACCACCUGGCUCCGUGACCUCACCUGUCUGAGCUAUAUUUCAGCUGGAGGUGUGGUUGCAUCAAUCCUUGUGGUCAUCUGCUUAUGCUGGAUUGGGGUUGUCGAUCAUGUCGGCUUUGAGAACAAAGGGACGGCGUUAAACCUCCCGGGAAUUCCUAUCGCGAUUGGACUGUACGGUUACUGCUACUCGGGACAUGGGGUGUUCCCAAACAUAUACUCUUCUCUGAAGAAUCGCAACCAGUUUCCUUCCAUUCUUUUCACCUGCAUUGGGUUCUCUACCAUUUUGUUUACUGCCGCCGCGGUGAUGGGAUACAAAAUGUUCGGCGAAGCCACCGAGUCUCAGUUCACCCUCAACUUACCAGAGAAUUUGGUUGUUUCCAAGAUUGCCGUCUGGGCUACGGUGGCAAAUCCAAUAACCAAAUAUGCAUUGACCAUAACCCCACUGGCCAUGAGUCUGGAAGAGUUGCUGCCGCGAAGCCAGCAGAAGUACUCCAACAUAAUUUUGCUUAGAUCAGCCCUGGUGGUGUCAACCCUCAUCAUUGCUCUGUCAGUUCCCUUCUUUGCGCUUGUGAUGGCUCUGAUUGGUUCUUUAUUCGCGAUGCUUGUGACCUACAUUCUUCCUUGCGCCUGCUUUCUGGCCAUCCUCAAGGCAAAAGCGACUUGGUAUCAGACUGCGACAUGCUCAUUCAUCAUCGCCGUAGGGGUUACCUGCGCCUGCGUGGGGACAUACUCAUCCCUCUCCGGGAUUGUCCAGAACUACGCAACCUGA
This 1713-nucleotide ribosomal RNA is filed under the name Triticum aestivum (bread wheat). RNAcentral describes it as "partial small subunit ribosomal RNA". Lineage: Eukaryota; Viridiplantae; Streptophyta; Magnoliopsida; Poales; Poaceae. The record is from RNAcentral.